UUCCAUUUCUACUACUACUACUACCACCAUGGAGUACUCUAAUUCUAGCAACACGGAGCAGCCUCAAACCUGCCUUGAAAUAACCAUGGAGGUUCACAGAGUUGUCCCACCACCCCAUCAGAGCACCAUUCAUAAGCUUAAAACCACGCUCAAAGAAACUUUCUUCCCUGAUGAUCCUCUGCGCCAAUUCAAAGGACAACCUACCGGGAAGAAAUGGAUUCUUGCAGCUCAAUACAUCUUCCCUAUUCUCCAAUGGGGUCCUCAUUAUAGUCUCAGUCUCUUCAAAUCUGAUAUUGUUGCCGGACUUACCAUUGCUAGCUUAGCCAUCCCCCA
RNAcentral lists this long non-coding RNA (333 nucleotides) under Gossypium barbadense (sea-island cotton). Its description in RNAcentral is "long non-coding RNA (GBAR_LNC000669)". The record is from RNAcentral. Lineage: Eukaryota; Viridiplantae; Streptophyta; Magnoliopsida; Malvales; Malvaceae.